Molecule: small nuclear RNA, 197 nt
Organism: Oncorhynchus keta (chum salmon)
Lineage: Eukaryota; Metazoa; Chordata; Actinopteri; Salmoniformes; Salmonidae
Product: U2 spliceosomal RNA
Exons: 1
Source: RefSeq, a predicted model, not a curated record
AUAUUUUUUAAAUCUGUUCUUAUCAGUUUAAUAUAAUAAUAAUAAUAAUAAUAAUAAUAAUAAUAUCUGACACGUCCCCUAUCUGGGGACCAUAUAUUCAAUAGAUUUUUGGAACAGGGAGAUGGAAUAGGGGCUUGCUCCGUCCACUCCACGCAUCGACCUGGUAUUGCAGUACUUCCAGGAACGGUGCACCCCAC